CAGCUAGCUGGUGGGGUAAGAGCUCACCAGGGCGACGAUCGGUAGCUGGUCUGAGAGGACGAUCAGCCACACUGGGAUUGAGAACGGCCCAGACUCCUACGGGGGGCAGCAGUGAGGAAUUUUCGUCAAUGGGGGCAACCCUGAACGAGCAACGCCGCGUGCAGGAAGAAGGUUUUCGGAUCGUAAACUGCUUUUCUCGGGGACGAGCAAGGACGGUACCCGAGGAAUCAGCCCCGGCUAACUACGUGCCAGCAGCCGCGGUAAUACGUAGGGGGCGAGCGUUGUCCGGAGUUACUGGGCGUAAAGCGCACGCAGGCGGUUCUUUCAGUUCAACGUGACAGUCGUCGGCUCAACUGACGAAGGACGAGGAAGACGGGAGAACUUGAGGGCUUCAGAGGGACACGGAAUUCCGGGUGGAGUGGUGAAAUGCGUAGAUAUCCGGAGGAACACCAACAGCGAAGGCAGUGUCCUGGGAAGUCGCUGACGCUCAGGUGCGAAAGCCAGGGGAGCGAACGGGAUUAGAUACCCCGGUAGUCCUGGCCGUAAACGAUGACCACCAGCGUGGGGGGUAUCGACCCCCUCCGUGCCGGAGCUAACGCGGUAAGUGGUC
RNAcentral lists this ribosomal RNA (610 nucleotides) under uncultured bacterium. Its description in RNAcentral is "SSU rRNA". It matches the Rfam family "Bacterial small subunit ribosomal RNA", at positions 242 to 869 of the family's 1533-position model. The record is from RNAcentral.